RNAcentral lists this unclassified non-coding RNA (300 nucleotides) under fungal sp. RNAcentral's name for it is "partial contains small subunit ribosomal RNA and internal transcribed spacer 1". The record is from RNAcentral. Lineage: Eukaryota; Fungi.
AAGUCGUAACAAGGUUUUCCUUCCGGUUAAAGAAUAGCUUCUAUUCUGUUUAACUAUUGAAGCCUUACGCACCGACUGUAAACAAUUGUGGAGUCUUGCCUCUCGGGCAAAGACAAUACCGCUGAAAUGCUGUGAUCACGUAAGUGUACCAGCAGCCUAAUACUUUAGGCCCACAGAUCAAGUGGCGGUGGUCUCUUAGCUUAAAGGCUAGAGAUUAUAAUAUGACCGGUCUUAACCUCAACGGUUAGGAAUUUAACGUUCCGUAGGUGAACCUGCGGAAGGAUCAUUAAUGAGUUAGGG